AUCGGGAAGAACACCAGUGGCGAAGGCGCUCUGCUGGGCCAUCACUGACGCUCAUGGACGAAAGCCAGGGGAGCGAAAGGGAUUAGAUACCCCUGUAGUCCUGGCCGUAAACGAUGAACACUAGGUGUCGGGGGAAUCGACCCCCUCGGUGUCGUAGCCAACGCGUUAGGUGUUCCGCCUGGGGAGUACGCACGCAAGUGUGAAACUCAAAGGAAUUGACGGGGGCCCGCACAAGCGGUGGAGUAUGUGGUUUAAUUCGAUGCAACGCGAAGAACCUUACCAGGGUUUGACAUCCUGCGAAUCUCUUGGAAACGAGAGAGUGCCUUCGGGAACGCAGUGACAGGUGGUGCAUGGCUGUCGUCGGCUCGUGUCGUGAGAUGUUGGGUUAAGUCCCGCAACGAGCGCAACCCACGUCUUUAGUUGCCAGCAUUCAGUUGGGCACUCUAGAGAGACCGCCGGUGAUAAACUGGAGGAAGGUGUGGAUGACGUCAAGUCAUCAUGCCCCUUACAUCCUGGGCUACACACGUACUACAAUGCUACGGACAAAGGGCAGCAAGUUCGCGAGGACAAGCAAAUCCCAUAAACCGUGGCUCAGUUCAGAUCGUAGGCUGCAACUCGCCUACGUGAAGGAGGAAUCGCUAGUAAUCGCAGGUCAGCAUACUGCGGUGAAUACGUUCCCGGGCCUUGUACACACCGCCCA
This 700-nucleotide ribosomal RNA is filed under the name uncultured bacterium. Its description in RNAcentral is "bacterial SSU rRNA". It matches the Rfam family "Bacterial small subunit ribosomal RNA", at positions 696 to 1396 of the family's 1533-position model. The record is from RNAcentral.